Molecule: ribosomal RNA, 562 nt
Filed under: Salmonella enterica subsp. enterica serovar Bareilly
Lineage: Bacteria; Pseudomonadati; Pseudomonadota; Gammaproteobacteria; Enterobacterales; Enterobacteriaceae
Description: partial 23S ribosomal RNA
Rfam family: Bacterial large subunit ribosomal RNA
Source: RNAcentral
AGACCCGAAACCCGGUGAUCUAGCCAUGGGCAGGUUGAAGGUUGGGUAACACUAACUGGAGGACCGAACCGACUAAUGUUGAAAAAUUAGCGGAUGACCUGUGGCUGGGGGUGAAAGGCCAAUCAAACCGGGAGAUAGCUGGUUCUCCCCGAAAGCUAUUUAGGUAGCGCCUCGUGAAUUCAUCUCCGGGGGUAGAGCACUGUUUCGGCUAGGGGGCCAUCCCGGCUUACCAACCCGAUGCAAACUGCGAAUACCGGAGAAUGUUAUCACGGGAGACACACGGCGGGUGCUAACGUCCGUCGUGAAGAGGGAAACAACCCAGACCGCCAGCUAAGGUCCCAAAGUCAUGGUUAAGUGGGAAACGAUGUGGGAAGGCACAGACAGCCAGGAUGUUGGCUUAGAAGCAGCCAUCAUUUAAAGAAAGCGUAAUAGCUCACUGGUCGAGUCGGCCUGCGCGGAAGAUGUAACGGGGCUAAACCAUGCACCGAAGCUGCGGCAGCGACGUUUAUGCGUUGUUGGGUAGGGGAGCGUUCUGUAAGCCUGCGAAGGUGGCCUGUGAGGG